CUGGAAAAGAGGAAGUUGGCCAGGGGUGGGUCAGUCCUGUGGUUAGGUACCCUUGCUCCAGACCAGGCUCCGAGAUGACAGCCGGGGUCUCUGCUCUGCGGAGGGCAGGAGGGCAGCACCCACUCCAUGGAGCCCUUCUCCUUUUUGUCAGCAGCUCAAAGACCUCUGGAGGCAAGGUUCUGAAUGCAAAGCCUGUGACCCACCCUCGGAUGGCAGCCCCUGCUCCCUCCCUGUGCCCCUAAAAGCUGACAGCCAUGUCCUCUUCUCUGCCAUGGCCAGGGAACGAGUAAGUGCCUGGGGAAGGUGGAGAGGGCAAUGGCUGGGAUGGUGGUGACUUG
Molecule: long non-coding RNA, 338 nt
Filed under: Monodelphis domestica (gray short-tailed opossum)
Lineage: Eukaryota; Metazoa; Chordata; Mammalia; Didelphimorphia; Didelphidae
Description: lncRNA (ENSMODG00000034369.2)
Source: RNAcentral